This 2416-nucleotide long non-coding RNA is filed under the name Brassica napus (rape). RNAcentral's name for it is "long non-coding RNA (BNAP_LNC014899)". Lineage: Eukaryota; Viridiplantae; Streptophyta; Magnoliopsida; Brassicales; Brassicaceae. The record is from RNAcentral.
CCUGAAGAGGGACUAUGGUCGGCGUGAAGAUCUUCUUCCUCCAAGAAGCAGACCAGCUGUGAGCUAUAGUAGCUCCAGGCUUUCUCCUGAGAGGCAUUUGUCUUACAGAGAUGAUUAUGCACCUCGUGGGUCUGUUGGUUAUUCAGAUAUUCCUAGAGAUUCUUCUCGCUUAGAAAUGAGGAGGCCGUACGGGGAUGACCUUUACAGUCCGAGGUUUGAAAGACCUCCUCCAAGUUACAGUGAAGGGAGAUCUCGUGCUUAUGAUGAACCUCUUCCUGGAUCAAAACGACCAUAUGCUGCAUUGGUCUGAUUUAUUGCUUCCUCUGACCAUUUUGUUCUAUAAUCAAACUAUAUGAUUGUUUUCUUAACAAGUGUUUAUAUCAUUCAGGAUGACAUUCCUCCCCGUUAUGCCGACGUCGAUGCUCGUCAUUCAAGAGCUCGUCUGGACUAUGAUCUUGGCCCAUCUCAAUAUGGGGAAUCGUUUGGGGACCGGUAUGUUCUCGUUCUAUGGAUAUAUCUCUGUCUGCAACUUCUUUGUGAAAUAUGUAUGUCUUAGUUUCUUACUUGCAUGUUUAUUUUAGGAUUCCUAGAUCUAGUUUAGGAUAUGGAAGCAGCCGAAAUGCAAUGACAAGUCAUGACUCGCGUGGUCCAUAUAGCAGCAGUCGUCAGGGAAUGGAUUAUGGAGGAGGUUUGUUUGAUAACUCUCUGUCUGUUGUGGCUUAACAUACAGCAAUACUGCGUCGAGAUGCAAACACUUACAUGGCUAUGUUGCUUUACUUCAGGUUCGUAUAGUAGCAGCGAUGUAGGAGGAAUGUACUCAUCAAGCUAUGGUAGUGAACCACCCAGAAGAGAUGUAAGUUCAAGCUAUGGUAGUGACAUACCCCCCAGAAGAGAUGUAAGUGGCUUCAGAAACAUUCUCGUUUUCUCCUUUUUUGUUGGAAAGUUGAGUUGAGAGUAACUUUUUAUUGUUGGAAUUACAGGGAGGAGGUAGCUCGUAUUCUUCAGUAUACUCAAGUCGUGGACUGGGUGGUACUAGUUACUCAGGUGGUGGUGGUGGUCCAGGAUCAUACUACUGAAAGUGAGUUAGUGGUAAUCUUUUGGUUCCUUCUUCAUAACAAGUUUUAGGUUGUCUCUUGUGGUGCAUUGUUUUGUUACUUGGAAUGCCAUCUAAGCAAUGUGAUUAUGGAACAAAUGGAUUUACCAAGUGAUAAAUAGAUUUUUCUUUUAUGUCUCUGGAUGGUAGCUUAGAAUACUUUCUAACGACAUUAUUGAUUGUUAGUGAUUCUGUUAUAUCUUCUGGUCAUAGUACUUUAGUUUGAUUAAUAUUUUGGUGGUGCAGGUUAAGACUAUCUUCAUUGAUGGUCUGUCAACUUCAUGGAGCGAAGAGCAUGUUAGAGACCUGUUGAAAAGAUUUGGCAAACUUGAGAAAAUUGAGCUUGCACGCAAUAUGCCAUCAGCCAGGAGGAAAGAUUUUGGCUUUGUAACUUUUGAUACUCACGAGGCUGCUGUGACUUGUGCCAAAUCUAUCAACAACUCAGAGCUAGGCGAAGGAGAGGACAAGGUAUGGCUUAUUCUUAUUCACGCAAGUAUAUUCUUGAUUUCUAAUUCCUCUCUUUGUUCCAGGCAAAAGUGAGGGCACGCUUAUCCAGACCACUUCAUGGAGCAGGCAAAGGCAGACAGCCCAGUCGCUCAGACCACCGGUCUAGUAGGCAUGGGAGUAGACGAUCUGGAAGGAGUUCACUGGCUCGUCUGCCACCUCGUAGCUCUAGAGGCGUUGGACCUCGGGCCCCACCUCCUAGUAGUGCAAAGAGAGCUAAUGGAUCAAGAGGAAGACGUCCACGACCGCCUCUACCUCCACCUGCAAGAGCUAGGCCCUCUAGGCCCUUGCCACCACCUGCAAGAUCCAGGCCCUUACCGCCACCUUCAAGAGCCAGGCCCUUGCCACUACCUGCUAGGUCUUAUGACAGAAGACCUCCAGGUACCACUAGGACUUGUUGUUUUCUCCAUGUUCAGUUAUCUUUUUUUUCUUCUUGAGCCUCAGUGUAUUUGAAAUUUUGAUUUUGCAGUUCCUCCGUAUCCAAAGGCUAGCCUGAAGAGGGACUAUGGUCGGCGUGAAGAUCUUCUUCCUCCAAGAAGCAGACCAGCUGUGAGCUAUAGUAGCUCCAGGCUUUCUCCUGAGAGGCAUUUGUCUUACAGAGAUGAUUAUGCACCUCGUGGGUCUGUUGGUUAUUCAGAUAUUCCUAGAGAUUCUUCUCGCUUAGAAAUGAGGAGGCCGUACGGGGAUGACCUUUACAGUCCGAGGUUUGAAAGACCUCCUCCAAGUUACAGUGAAGGGAGAUCUCGUGCUUAUGAUGAACCUCUUCCUGGAUCAAAACGACCAUAUGCUGCAUUGGUCUGAUUUAUUGCUUCCUCUGAC